GCAUAUCAAUAAGCGGAGGAAAAGAAACCAACCGGGAUUGCCUCAGUAACGGCGAGUGAAGCGGCAAGAGCUCAAAUUUGAAAUCUGGCCCCUUUGGGGUCCGAGUUGUAAUUUGCAGAGGAUGCUUCGGGUGCGGUCCCCGUCUAAGUGCCCUGGAACGGGCCGUCAUAGAGGGUGAGAAUCCCGUCUGGGAUGGGCGGCCGCGCCCGUGUGAAGCUCCUUCGACGAGUCGAGUUGUUUGGGAAUGCAGCUCUAAGCGGGUGGUAAAUUUCAUCUAAAGCUAAAUACUGGCCGGAGACCGAUAGCGCACAAGUAGAGUGAUCGAAAGAUGAAAAGCACUUUGAAAAGAGAGUUAAACAGCACGUGAAAUUGUUGAAAGGGAAGCGUUGUCCACCAGACUCGCCCGGGGGGGUUCAGCCGGCACGUGUGCCGGUGUACUCCUCUCCGGGCGGGCCAGCAUCGGUUUGGGCGGCUGGUGAAAGGCCCCGGGAAUGUAACACCCUUCGGGGUGCCUUAUAGCCCGGGGUGCCAUACAGCCAGCCUGGACCGAGGCCCGCGCUUCGGCGAGGAUGCUGGCGUAAUGGUGGUCAACGGCCCGUCUUGAAACACGGACCAAGGAGUCUAACAUCUAUGCGAGUGUUCGGGUGUCAAACCCGUCCGCGCAGUGAAAGCGAACGGAGGUGGGAGCCCCUCGGGGCGCACCAUCGACCGAUCCUGAUGUCUUCGGAUGGAUUUGAGUAAGAGCAUAGCUGUUGGGACCCGAAAGAUGGUGAACUAUGCCUGAAUAGGGCGAAGCCAGAGGAAACUCUGGUGGAGGCUCGCAGCGGUUCUGACGUGCAAAUCGAUCGUCAAAUUUGGGUAUAGGGGCGAAAGACUAAUCGAACCAUCUGGUAGCUGGUUCCUGCCGA
RNAcentral lists this ribosomal RNA (908 nucleotides) under Aspergillus cremeus. RNAcentral describes it as "LSU rRNA". It matches the Rfam family "Eukaryotic large subunit ribosomal RNA", at positions 38 to 964 of the family's 3401-position model. The record is from RNAcentral. Lineage: Eukaryota; Fungi; Ascomycota; Eurotiomycetes; Eurotiales; Aspergillaceae.